This 211-nucleotide long non-coding RNA is filed under the name Elaeis guineensis (African oil palm). RNAcentral's name for it is "long non-coding RNA (EGUI_LNC047901)". The record is from RNAcentral. Lineage: Eukaryota; Viridiplantae; Streptophyta; Magnoliopsida; Arecales; Arecaceae.
CCCUCUCUUCUCUUCCAUGCCCAAGAGUUGGGCAUCUCCUUUUCACAUGCUAAGAGGUAGUGCUUUGUGACUUCAAGAGUGAAGAUCGACGAGAAAAGAAGAAGGCUGCUGAUCAAGGUGUUGAUUCCACAGUCCAAAUCACGAUGUUGAUCAAAGUGCUCAAGGCUAAGAUUCUUCUUGAGAAGAAGAAUCUUAUACAAGGAGAGAUAAG